UCGAGAAUCUUCGGCAAUGGGCGCAAGCCUGACCGAGCGACGCCGCGUGCGGGAUGAAGGCCUUCGGGUUGUAAACCGCUGUCAGAGAGGCGGAAAUAUAGGGGGGUUCUCCCUUCUAUUUGACCUAUUCUCAGAGGAAGUGCGGGCUAAGUCCGUGCCAGCAGCCGCGGUAACACGGACCGCACGAACGUUAUUCGGUAUCACUGGGCUUAAAGGGUGCGUAGGCGGCCUAGCAAGUUGGGUGUGAAAGCCCUCGGCUCAACCGAGGAAUUGCGCUCAAUACUGUUGGGCUCGAGAGAGACAGAGGUAAGCGGAACUAAUGGUGGAGCGGUGAAAUGCGUUGAUAUCAUUAGGAACACCGGUGGCGAAGGCGGCUUACUGGGUCUUUUCUGACGCUGAGGCACGAAAGCCAGGGGAGCGAACGG
Molecule: ribosomal RNA, 425 nt
Filed under: uncultured bacterium
Lineage: Bacteria
Description: bacterial SSU rRNA
Rfam family: Bacterial small subunit ribosomal RNA
Source: RNAcentral